CCUCACCUCAGAAGAUGGUGCGGUUGGGGUAUGUUACGCACGCAUGCGUAAUGAUUGAGAAUGUGUAGUUGAGAUAAGUCGGAUCUGAA
Trachymyrmex cornetzi is the source of this 89-nucleotide long non-coding RNA. RefSeq lists it as uncharacterized. Lineage: Eukaryota; Metazoa; Arthropoda; Insecta; Hymenoptera; Formicidae. The record is from RefSeq and is a predicted model, not a curated record. The transcript has 3 exons.